GACGAACGCUGGCGGCGUGCUUAACACAUGCAAGUCGAGCGGUAAGGCCCUUUCGGGGGUACACGAGCGGCGAACGGGUGAGUAACACGUGGGUGACCUGCCCUCAGCUCUGGGAUAAGCCUGGGAAACCGGGUCUAAUACCGGAUAUGACUCCAUGACGCAUGUUGUGGGGUGGAAAGCCUUGUGCGGCUGAGGAUGGGCCCGCGGCCUAUCAGCUUGUUGGUGGGGUGAUGGCCUACCAAGGCGACGACGGGUAGCCGGCCUGAGAGGGCGACCGGCCACACUGGGACUGGAGACACGGCCCAGACUCCUACGGGAGGCAGCAGUGGGGAAUCUUGCGCAAUGGGCGAAAGCCUGACGCAGCGACGCCGCGUGAGGGAUGACGGCCUGGUGUAAC
This 397-nucleotide ribosomal RNA is filed under the name uncultured bacterium. RNAcentral describes it as "bacterial SSU rRNA". It matches the Rfam family "Bacterial small subunit ribosomal RNA", at positions 28 to 429 of the family's 1533-position model. The record is from RNAcentral.